AAAGUUGUUGCAGUUAAAAAGCUCGUAGUUGAAUUUCGGGGUUAGUAGGUUGGUCAUGCCUCUGGUAUGUACUGGUCUCACUGAUUCCUCCUUCCUGAUGAACCGUAAUGCCAUUAAUUUGGUGUUGCGGGGAAUUUGGACUGUUACUUUGAAAAAAUUAGAGUGUUUAAAGCAAGCUAACGCUUGAAUACAUUAGCAUGGAAUAAUGAAAUAGGACGUUCGAUCCUAUUUUGUUGGUUUCUAGGAUUGACGUAAUGAUUAAUAGGGAUAGUUGGGGGCAUUAGUAUUCAAUUGUCAGAGGUGAAAUUCUUGGAUUUAUUGAAGACUAACUACUGCGAAAGCAUUUGCCAAGGAUGUUUUCAUUAAUCAAGAACGAAAGUUAGGGGAUCGAAGACGAUCAGAU
Molecule: ribosomal RNA, 403 nt
Filed under: uncultured Glomus
Lineage: Eukaryota; Fungi; Glomeromycota; Glomeromycetes; Glomerales; Glomeraceae
Description: SSU rRNA
Rfam family: Eukaryotic small subunit ribosomal RNA
Source: RNAcentral